UGGCGGACGGGUGAGUAACGCGUGGAAAACCUGCCGUAUACUGGGGGAUAACACUUAGAAAUAGGUGCUAAUACCGCAUAAGCGCACAGCUUCGCAUGAAGCGGUGUGAAAAACUCUGGUGGUAUCCGAUGGUUCCGCGUCUGAUUAGCUAGUUGGUGGGGUAAUGGCCUACCAAGGCAACGAUCAGUAGCCGGCCUGAGAGGGUGAACGGCCACAUUGGGACUGAGACACGGCCCAAACUCCUACGGAAGGCAGCAG
Molecule: ribosomal RNA, 258 nt
Filed under: uncultured bacterium
Lineage: Bacteria
Description: partial 16S ribosomal RNA
Rfam family: Bacterial small subunit ribosomal RNA
Source: RNAcentral